AUUGAACGCUGGCGGCAUGCCUUACACAUGCAAGUCGAACGGUAACAGGUCUUCGGAUGCUGACGAGUGGCGAACGGGUGAGUAAUACAUCGGAACGUGCCCGAUCGUGGGGGAUAACGAGGCGAAAGCUUUGCUAAUACCGCAUACGAUCUACGGAUGAAAGCGGGGGAUCUUCGGACCUCGCGCGGACGGAGCGGCCGAUGGCAGAUUAGGUAGUUGGUGGGAUAAAAGCUUACCAAGCCGACGAUCUGUAGCUGGUCUGAGAGGAUGAUCAGCUACACUGGGACUGAGACACGGCCCAGACUCCUACGGGAGGCAGCAGUGGGGAAUUUUGGACAAUGGGCGAAAGCCUGAUCCAGCCAUGCCGCGUGCAGGAUGAAGGCCUUCGGGUUGUAAACUGCUUUUGUACGGAACGAAAAGCCUCUUUCUAAUAAAGAGGGGUCAUGACGGUACCGUAAGAAUAAGCACCGGCUAACUACGUG
RNAcentral lists this ribosomal RNA (482 nucleotides) under uncultured bacterium. Its description in RNAcentral is "partial 16S ribosomal RNA". It matches the Rfam family "Bacterial small subunit ribosomal RNA", at positions 30 to 507 of the family's 1533-position model. The record is from RNAcentral.